This is a long non-coding RNA of Micropterus salmoides (largemouth bass), 893 nucleotides long. RefSeq lists it as uncharacterized. The transcript is spliced from 3 exons. The record is from RefSeq and is a predicted model, not a curated record. Lineage: Eukaryota; Metazoa; Chordata; Actinopteri; Centrarchiformes; Centrarchidae.
GGCUCUGCAGGAAGGGAACUUUGCAUACUUUUGGCCCACAGCAACUGUUGAAAAGAGGAGGGAGAUCAUCCUCAGGGCAAUUGGUUUCUACCUUAUGAAGACCCAAACAUCCUCUUUAAAGAACACCCGGAUCUGAUGCUACAGCCGUUCCGAGGGAGCUUGGACAAGUUAUCUUUACAGCAUCCGUGUUGAGGGAGGUGAUGCUACCGCUCCUCCAGCUGAUGUUGGGAUAGUCACCGAGGGUGCUGAAGUUCUGCAUGACUUGGGAGACAUCGCCUCUACACGUGCACUCUUAAUAGGUGUAAUUAUGCACUGAAGCUCAGUUAUCCUCAGAACCUUAAAGCCUUCUUUGAGGUACUUCACAAGUGAUUCUUUCAACUAGAUGCUAGCAAACUCUCAACCAAGGUACAGAUGCUCAAGAACAAACUCUAUGAAUGAGCCAUUGAUUUGGAGGCUGUGUUCUGUGGAAUUGGCAGAAUUCUAAGCAGUGCAUCAUCAAAAUUGUUGACAACUAAACAUUAUUUUGCAAACUUUUCAACACUUUAUAGUGCUGAUAAUUUUACUGUAUUAUUUUUUUCACCAGUUGCACCAAAAUGAUAUUGAUGUGUUGGUGAAUAAAGUCCAUAACAAAAUUCAGUUGAAAUGAAUUUGUGUGGGACCAGUUGACAAACAUUUGAUUUGUGUCAAUCUAAUUUGGAAAAAAAUUUUUACUACUCCAAAUAAAAUAUUGAAAGGUAAGCUUAAAUAUAUUGUUGAUCAGAAGUUUUUUUAGUUGGAUCAAUUGACAUUCAUUGUGUUACUCUUAUACAAGUUCAUUACAUUUUUUUUGCUUUUAACUAACCUAAAACAAUUUUGUGGAAUCUGUUGAAAAAAUAAAUAUAAUUAAAAUCAAA